AAGAUUCAUCGGCUGAGGAUGGGCCCGCGGCCUAUCAGCUUGUUGGUGGGGUAGUGGCCCACCAAGGCGACGACGGGUAGCCGGCCUGAGAGGGUGACCGGCCACACUGGGACUGAGACACGGCCCAGACUCCUACGGGAGGCAGCAGUGGGGAAUAUUGCGCAAUGGGCGGAAGCCUGACGCAGCGACGCCGCGUGAGGGAUGACGGCCUUCGGGUUGUAAACCUCUUUCAGUAGGGACGAAGCGAAAGUGACGGUACCUACAGAAGAAGCACCGGCCAACUACGUGCCAGCAGCCGCGGUAAUACGUAGGGUGCAAGCGUUGUCCGGAAUUAUUGGGCGUAAAGAGCUCGUAGGCGGUCUGUCGCGUCGGCUGUGAAAACCCGAGGCUCAACCUCGGGCCUGCAGUCGAUACGGGCAAACUAGAGUACUGCAGGGGAGACUGGAAUUCCUGGUGUAGCGGUGAAAUGCGCAGAUAUCAGGAGGAACACCGGUGGCGAAGGCGGGUCUCUGGGCAGUAACUGACGCUGAGGAGCGAAAGCGUGGGGAGCGAACAGGAUUAGAUACCCUGGUAGUCCACGCCGUAAACGUUGGGCGCUAGGUGUGGGGGCCAUUCCACGGUCUCCGUGCCGCAGCUAACGCAUUAAGCGCCCCGCCUGGGGAGUACGGCCGCAAGGCUAAAACUCAAAGGAAUUGACGGGGGCCCGCACAAGCGGCGGAGCAUGUUGCUUAAUUCGAUGCAACGCGAAGAACCUUACCUAGGCUUGACAUGCACGGAAAUCUCGUAGAGAUACGGGGUGCCUUUGGCGUCGUGCACAGGUGGUGCAUGGUUGUCGUCAGCUCGUGUCGUGAGAUGUUGGGUUAAGUCCCGCAACGAGCGCAACCCUCGUUCUAUGUUGCCAGCACGUGAUGGUGGGGACUCAUAGGAGACUGCCGGGGUCAACUCGGAGGAAGGUGGGGAUGACGUCAAAUCAUCAUGCCCCUUAUGUCUAGGGCUGCAAACAUGCUACAAUGGCCGGUACAAAGGGCUGCGAUACCGCGAGGUGGAGCGAAUCCCAAAAAGCCGGUCUCAGUUCGGAUUGGGGUCUGCAACUCGACCCCAUGAAGUUGGAGUCGCUAGUAAUCGCAGAUCAGCAACGCUGCGGUGAAUACGUUCCCGGGCCUUGUACACACCGCCCGUCACGUCACGAAAGUCGGUAACGCCCGAAGCCGGUGGCCCAACCCUUGUGG
Molecule: ribosomal RNA, 1229 nt
Filed under: Modestobacter sp. Br9
Lineage: Bacteria; Bacillati; Actinomycetota; Actinomycetes; Geodermatophilales; Geodermatophilaceae
Description: bacterial SSU rRNA
Rfam family: Bacterial small subunit ribosomal RNA
Source: RNAcentral